GUUUGAUCCUGGCUCAGAACGAACGCUGGCGGCAGGCCUAACAUGCAAGUCGAACGCCCCGCAAGGGGAGUGGCAGACGGGUGAGUAACGCGUGGGAACCUACCUAGAGGUGCGGAAUAGCCCAGGGAAACUUGGAGUAAUACCGCAUAAGCCCGCAAGGGGAAAGAUUUAUCGCCUUUAGAUGGGCCCGCGUCUGAUUAGCUAGUUGGUGAGGUAAUGGCUCACCAAGGCGACGAUCAGUAGCUGGUUUGAGAGAAUGACCAGCCACACUGGGACUGAGACACGGCCCAGACUCCUACGGGAGGCAGCAGUGGGGAAUCUUGGACAAUGGGGGCAACCCUGAUCCAGCCAUGCCGCGUGAGUGACGAAGGCCUUAGGGGUUGUAAAGCUCUUUUGGCGGGGUACGAUAAUGACGGUACCCGCAGAAUAAGUCCCGGCUAACUUCGUGCCAGCAGCCGCGGUAAUACGAAGGGGACU
This 477-nucleotide ribosomal RNA is filed under the name uncultured bacterium. RNAcentral describes it as "bacterial SSU rRNA". It matches the Rfam family "Bacterial small subunit ribosomal RNA", at positions 11 to 536 of the family's 1533-position model. The record is from RNAcentral.